This 491-nucleotide ribosomal RNA is filed under the name uncultured bacterium. Its description in RNAcentral is "bacterial SSU rRNA". It matches the Rfam family "Bacterial small subunit ribosomal RNA", at positions 28 to 507 of the family's 1533-position model. The record is from RNAcentral.
GACGAACGCUGGCGGCGUGCUUCACACAUGCAAGUCGAGCGAGAACGUACCUUCGGGUGCUAGUAAAGCGGCGAACGGGUGAGUAACACGUGGGUAACCUGCCCUGGAGACCGGGACAACCAUUCGAAAGGAUGGCUAAUACCGGAUGCACUGCACAAUCGCAUGUUUGUGCAGAAAGGUAGCUUCGGCUUCCGCUCCUGGAUGGACCCGCGGCCCAUUAGCUUGUUGGUAGGGUAAAGGCCUACCAAGGCGACGAUGGGUAGCCGGCCUGAGAGGGUGAUCGGCCACACUGGGACUGAGACACGGCCCAGACUCCUACGGGAGGCAGCAGUGGGGAAUAUUGGACAAUGGGGGCAACCCUGAUCCAGCAACGCCGCGUGGAGGAAGAAGGCCUUCGGGUCGUAAACUCCUGUCAGGUGGGACGAAACAGCCUAGGUCAAUAGCCUAGGUUUCUGACGGUACCACCAGAGGAAGCCCCGGCUAACUCCGUG